AAGAUAGAGGCGCGAUCUUUAUGAUAAACGCGGAAAGGGUUUAAUUCUGCGCGGUAAAGGAAAGGUCGCCGAAGAGUGCAAGCCUCCCGAAGCUUGCAUGUCUGGGUGCAAGGAGAAUAUCUUUGCAACUGUCGCGAGAAAGGUUCGCCUUCCGCGUUGAGCUAUUG
This 167-nucleotide non-coding RNA is filed under the name human gut metagenome. Its description in RNAcentral is "Lysine riboswitch". It matches the Rfam family "Lysine riboswitch aptamer". Rfam says of the family: Riboswitches are metabolite binding domains within certain messenger RNAs that serve as precision sensors for their corresponding targets. Allosteric rearrangement of mRNA structure is mediated by ligand binding, and this results in modulation of gene expression. The record is from RNAcentral.